GAGUACGUAGUUGAUCAGUGGCUCGAGGACACGCUGGCGGCGUGCUUAACACAUGCAAGUCGAACGGGGCGAAGUGAUAGCUUGCUAUUAUGGAGCCUAGUGGCAAACGGGUGAGUAACGCGUAGGCAACCUGCCCUUCAGAUGGGGACAACACCUCGAAAGGGGUGCUAAUACCGCAUGAGACCACAGAGGGACAUCCCUUAGGGGUCAAAGGAGCAAUCCGGUGAAAGAUGGGCUCGCGUCUGAUUAGCUAGUUGGUGAGGUAACGGCCCACCAAGGCGACGAUCAGUAGCCGACCUGAGAGGGUGAUCGGCCACAUUGGAACUGAGAGACGGUCCAAACUCCUACGGGAGGCAGCAGUGGGGAAUAUUGGGCAAUGGGCGAAAGCCUGACCCAGCGACGCCGCGUGAAGGAAGAAGGUCUUCGGAUUGUAAACUUCUUUUAUCAGGGACGAAAACUGACGGUACCUGAUGAAUAAGCCACGGCUAACUACGUG
Molecule: ribosomal RNA, 496 nt
Filed under: uncultured bacterium
Lineage: Bacteria
Description: bacterial SSU rRNA
Rfam family: Bacterial small subunit ribosomal RNA
Source: RNAcentral